RNAcentral lists this long non-coding RNA (413 nucleotides) under Anas platyrhynchos platyrhynchos (common mallard). RNAcentral describes it as "lncRNA (ENSAPLG00000026816.1)". The record is from RNAcentral. Lineage: Eukaryota; Metazoa; Chordata; Aves; Anseriformes; Anatidae.
GGAACUUUCCAAAAAGGCAGUGCUUUUUUUUUAAAUUACUUUUUAAAUUAUUUUUUCCCCCUUUUCUUUUUUCCCUCCUAAUGACAGAAGCUGCAUUGGAGAAGUGGCCUGGCCAAAACACCAAGGACUUGUUCAUAGCCUAAAAAAGGGAGAGGAGGAAUCUGGUUUUGGAGGUGUCACUCUUUGUGGAAAACAGACUUAGAUAACUGGAGCUUUCAAGCUGUUCCCCCCCUGAAAGGAGGAAUUGUUAUUUGAGCAACACCUAGAGUCGUCAGUCUCCUGUGGGUGAAAAACGAUAAACAGACUCUCAAGGGAUGCAUCUUGGUGGAGCUAGAAAGGUGCACUUUCCAUAUUUUCAAUCUCCGAGUGAAUUGCUCUGAUAUCAGGGUUUGGUGGAUCUUGGGAAGAGUACG